AGCCCGGGCGCACCUUUGGGUGCGCUUCUUCAGAUUUGCACUCUGAUGUGAAACACCUCCGAGCUUG
RNAcentral lists this transfer RNA (67 nucleotides) under Feylinia polylepis. RNAcentral describes it as "tRNA-Cys". The record is from RNAcentral. Lineage: Eukaryota; Metazoa; Chordata; Lepidosauria; Squamata; Scincidae.